Long non-coding RNA from Sander lucioperca (pikeperch), 184 nucleotides. RefSeq lists it as uncharacterized. Lineage: Eukaryota; Metazoa; Chordata; Actinopteri; Perciformes; Percidae. The transcript is spliced from 3 exons. The record is from RefSeq and is a predicted model, not a curated record.
CUAACGUUAGAGACUGAGUCUGGUCUUGAGGACACACAAGCCACUCCACAGCGGAUUACUGCAAGAUUAAUAAAGUAGACCUGCAGGACCCGAGCAGAGCUACGAUGCUCUCCCAGGUAACGUUAGCUCACAUCAGGCAGCAGGCAGUCCAACCGGGAGGACAUGGUAGCAACAGAGGGAGAGG